This 324-nucleotide ribosomal RNA is filed under the name Amanita virosa (European destroying angel). Its description in RNAcentral is "eukaryotic LSU rRNA". The stretch from base 1 to 105 matches the Rfam family "5.8S ribosomal RNA", at positions 50 to 154 of the family's 154-position model. Lineage: Eukaryota; Fungi; Basidiomycota; Agaricomycetes; Agaricales; Amanitaceae. The record is from RNAcentral.
GAAAUGCGAUAAGUAGUGUGAAUUGCAGAAUUCAGUGAAUCAUCGAAUCUUUGAACGCAUCUUGCACUCCUUGGUAUUCCGAGGAGUAUGCCUGUUUGAGCGUCAUUAAAAUUAUCAAAGCCAAAAAAAAUGAAGUUGGUUUUGGACUUUGAGAGUUGCAGKUCCGUUGUAGGAUGAGCUCUCUUAAAAUGAAUUAGCAGAGUCUAAYGGAGCUUUAUUGGUGUGAUAAGAAGAUCGCCAGAGAAAGUAACRUUAGAAUGUGCUUUGGAUGGAAAUUUUAAGAAAUUUGACCUCAAAUCAGGUAGGAGUACCCGCUGAACUUAA